Hypanus sabinus (Atlantic stingray) is the source of this 473-nucleotide long non-coding RNA. RefSeq lists it as uncharacterized. The transcript has 3 exons. The record is from RefSeq and is a predicted model, not a curated record. NCBI's taxonomy places the organism in Eukaryota, Metazoa, Chordata, Chondrichthyes, Myliobatiformes, Dasyatidae.
ACUCCCGUUCCCUCUCCGUAUUUUCAUUUCGUAGCCAUGCAAUUUACUCUCUUUAAAAGGUUCAUAAACGCCCCUUUUAUUCUUUUGCCUUUUAGUUUACGAUAGCUAGAUAACCAACCAGCAUAUCUUUGGGAUACUGGAGUUAACUGGAGCAUCUAGAAAAUCCGCAAGCUGACACACGGAGAACUCGCCAAUUCCUCGGCCAAGUCUGGAGUGGAGCGCGAAGGCAGCUCCGCAACAGCGGAACAUCUGCUACCGCGCCCCUGCAAGUGCUAUCUCUUCAGAUGCCAAAACUGCUUAUUUGCUCCCCUGGAGUAAAGCUAGAAGCCUUGACCUACUAACUAUGAGUUUUCCUGUGAUGGUGCCUGUCAGAAUGAGGGGGCACAUGAGUCGAUGACUCUGGCUAAUUCCUUAAGCACUACGUGACAAUGAUGUACUCAUCAGAUUGGAAGAUCUCAUCGAGGGUGAGACUU